Molecule: ribosomal RNA, 1349 nt
Filed under: uncultured prokaryote
Description: partial 16S ribosomal RNA
Rfam family: Bacterial small subunit ribosomal RNA
Source: RNAcentral
GAUGAACGCUGGCGGCGUGCCUAACACAUGCAAGUCGAACGGUCUUCGCAAGGGGACAGUGGCGCACGGGUGAGGAACACGUAGCCGACCUGCCUUGGAGUGCGGGAUAACGCCCCGAAAGGGGUGCUAAUACCGCGUAAGCUCACGGGAUUUAGAAACCUGGGAGAAAAGGCCUUCGGGUCGCUCUGAGAGGGGGCUGCGGCCCAUCAGCUAGUUGGUGUGGUAAUGGCACACCAAGGCGACGACGGGUAGGGGACCUGAGAGGGUGACCCCCCACACUGGGACUGAGACACGGCCCAGACUCCUACGGGAGGCAGCAGUGAGGAAUAUUGCACAAUGGGCGAAAGCCUGAUGCAGCGACGCCGCGUGGGUGAUUGAAGGCCUUCGGGUCUUAAGCCCUUUUCUGCGUGACGAGGAAGGACGGUAGCGCAGGAAUAAGUGUCGGCUAACUACGUGCCAGCAGCCGCGGUAAAACGUAGGACGCAAACGUUAUCCGGAGUUACUGGGCGUAAAGAGCGUGUAGGCGGAUGAACAAGUCGGUUGUGAAAGCGCCCGGCUAAACUGGGCGAGGUCGAUCAAGACUGUGUAACUCGAGAGUGAUAGAGGGGCGCAGAAUUCCUUGUGUAGUGGUGAAAUGCGUAGAUAUAAGGAAGAAUACCAGUGGCGAAGGCGAUCAACUGGCAUACCAAUACUGACGCUGAGGUGCGAAAGCGUGGGGAGCAAGCAGGAUUAGAUACCCUGGUAGUCCACGCCGUAAAGGAUGUCAACUAGCCGUUGGGGGGCUUGUACCCUUAGUGGCGCAGCUAACGCGAUAAGUUGACCGCCUGGGGAGUACGGCCGCAAGGUUAAAACUCAAAUGAAUUGACGGGGGCCCGCACAAGCGGUGGAGCAUGUGGUUUAAUUCGAUGCAACGCGAAGAACCUUACCUGCCCUUGACAUCCUCGGAACUUGUCAGAGAUGACUUGGUGCCUUCUCGGGAACCGUGACAGGUGCUGCAUGGCUGUCGUCAGCUCGUGUCGUGAGAUGUUGGGUUAAGUCCCGUAACGAGCGCAACCCUUGUCCUUAGUUGCCAGCACGUAAUGGUGGGAACUCUAAGGAGACUGCCGGUGACAAACCGGAGGAAGGUGGGGACGACGUCAAGUCAUCAUGGCCCUUACGACCUGGGCUACACACGUGCUACAAUGGCGAGAACAGAGGGUCGCAAAACCGCGAGGUCAAGCUAAUCCCAGAAAACUCGUCGUAGUCCGGAUUGGAGUCUGCAACUCGACUCCAUGAAGUCGGAAUCGCUAGUAAUCGCGAAUCAGAAUGUCGCGGUGAAUACGUUCCCGGGCCUUGUACACACCGCCCGU